This 62-nucleotide transfer RNA is filed under the name Anagonalia emeiensis. RNAcentral's name for it is "tRNA-Ala". The record is from RNAcentral. Lineage: Eukaryota; Metazoa; Arthropoda; Insecta; Hemiptera; Cicadellidae.
AGGAUUAUAAUUAAUUAUAAUAUUUGACUCGCAAUCAAAAAGUGCUUAGUAUAGCUAAUCUA